GAGAAUGAAAAUCUUAAUUUACCUCAGG
Molecule: non-coding RNA, 28 nt
Filed under: Bombyx mori (domestic silkworm)
Lineage: Eukaryota; Metazoa; Arthropoda; Insecta; Lepidoptera; Bombycidae
Source: RNAcentral